AAUUUUCAUGAAUUUAAAAUAUAACAUUUAUCAUUUUAUUUUUAAAUCGUAACUAUAUCAUAUAAGGUUAACAAAAUAAAAAAUAAAAAAUAAAAAGUAAAAUCUCAGUUUUACUGAUGUAAUACAUUGAUUUUAAUCAAAAUAAUAUUGGAAUCAGCAUGUACUUUAAAAAUCUCUAUUAUGCACUGACCUUUGAAGUAGAGCAUUUAGUGAUUUAUUUAUUUAUUUAUUUAUUUAUUUUUCCAAAAUCCCA
RNAcentral lists this long non-coding RNA (253 nucleotides) under Physcomitrium patens. RNAcentral's name for it is "long non-coding RNA (PPAT_LNC012189)". The record is from RNAcentral. Lineage: Eukaryota; Viridiplantae; Streptophyta; Bryopsida; Funariales; Funariaceae.